RNAcentral lists this ribosomal RNA (470 nucleotides) under uncultured bacterium. RNAcentral's name for it is "bacterial SSU rRNA". It matches the Rfam family "Bacterial small subunit ribosomal RNA", at positions 8 to 526 of the family's 1533-position model. The record is from RNAcentral.
AGGGUUCGAUUAUGGCUCAGAACGAACGCUGGCGGCAGGCCUAACACAUGCAAGUCGAGCGCACCUUCGGGUGAGCGGCGGACGGGUUAGUAACGCGUGGGAACGUACCCUUUUCUACGGAAUAGCCUUUGGAAACGAAGAGUAAUACCGUAUACGCCCUUUGGGGGAAAGAUUUAUCGGAGAAGGAUCGGCCCGCGUUAGAUUAGAUAGUUGGUGGGGUAACGGCCUACCAAGUCUACGAUCUAUAGCUGGUUUUAGAGGAUGAUCAGCAACACUGGGACUGAGACACGGCCCAGACUCCUACGGGAGGCAGCAGUGGGGAAUCUUAGACAAUGGGCGCAAGCCUGAUCUAGCCAUGCCGCGUGAGUGAUGAAGGCCUUAGGGUCGUAAAGCUCUUUCGCCUGUGAUGAUAAUGACAGUAGCAGGUAAAGAAACCCCGGCUAACUCCGUGCCAGCAGCCGCGGUAAUAC